Molecule: ribosomal RNA, 452 nt
Filed under: uncultured bacterium
Lineage: Bacteria
Description: partial 16S ribosomal RNA
Rfam family: Bacterial small subunit ribosomal RNA
Source: RNAcentral
GAUGAACGCUGGCGGCGUGCCUAACACAUGCAAGUCGAGCGAUUUACUUCGGUAAAGAGCGGCGGACGGGUGAGUAACGUGUGGGUAACCUGCCCUGUACACACGGAUAACAUACCGAAAGGUAUGCUAAUACGAGAUAAUAUGCUUUUAUCGCAUGGUAGAAGUAUCAAAGCUUUUGCGGUACAGGAUGGACCCGCGUCUGAUUAGCUAGUUGGUGAGGUAACGGCUCACCAAGGCGACGAUCAGUAGCCGACCUGAGAGGGUGAUCGGCCACAUUGGAACUGAGACACGGUCCAAACUCCUACGGGAGGCAGCAGUGGGGAAUAUUGCACAAUGGGCGAAAGCCUGAUGCAGCAACGCCGCGUGAGCGAUGAAGGCCUUCGGGUCGUAAAGCUCUGUCCUCAAGGAAGAUAAUGACGGUACUUGAGGAGGAAGCCCCGGCUAACUACGUG